Molecule: unclassified non-coding RNA, 233 nt
Filed under: Hevea brasiliensis (rubber tree)
Lineage: Eukaryota; Viridiplantae; Streptophyta; Magnoliopsida; Malpighiales; Euphorbiaceae
Source: RNAcentral
UGAUAAACUUAAGGUAGUUAUUAAUAGCAUAAAGCAGAGCGGGAACAGCCAGAAGCACAUUGUUCCGAGCAGCCUGGAACAAUGUGGAGAAAGAAAGAAGAGACUUCUCUCCAGCCUUCUGGUUUCGAGCCUCUAAGCAUAGCAUUAUUACUGCAAAUGCAACUUUUGCCAACUCAGUCAAAAAAUUAACACUGAUGGGACUGAACUCGAAUUUGCCAUCAACUUUUGACAUA